This 281-nucleotide long non-coding RNA is filed under the name Capsella grandiflora. RNAcentral describes it as "long non-coding RNA (CGRA_LNC001312)". Lineage: Eukaryota; Viridiplantae; Streptophyta; Magnoliopsida; Brassicales; Brassicaceae. The record is from RNAcentral.
CAGCAGGAGGGUAACCACCAUGACCAGGUGCAGGAGGAUAACCACCAUAACCAGGGGCAGGAGGAUAGCCACCAGGUGCUGGGGGAUAACCACCAGGCGCCGGUGGGUAUGCACUUGGAGGAUAACCUGCAGGUGGGUAAGCACCAGGUGGUGGAGGGUAACCUUGUUGCGGGUAUCCAGCAGGUGGAUACCCAGGAGCCGGCGGGUAUCCAGCAGGAGGAUACCCAUGAAAACCUUUGUCAUUGUCACCUCCCAUGUUUUCUAUCAAUCAACAAUACAAC